GACGAACGCUGGCGGCGUGCUUAACACAUGCAAGUCGAACGGAAAGGCCCUGCUUUUGUGGGGUGCUCGAGUGGCGAACGGGGGAGUAGCACGUGAGUAACCUGCCCUUGAAUUUGGGAUAACUUCAGGGAACUGGGGCUAAUACCGGAUAGGAGCUCCUGAUGCAUGGUGGGGGUUGGAGAGUUUCGGCGGUUGUGGCUGGACUCGCGGCUUAUCAGCUGGUUGGUGGGGUAGUGGCUUACAAAGGCUUCGACGGGUAGCCGGCCUGGGAGGGUGACCGGCCUCCUGGCGCCUGCGGGACGCCCCAGACUCCUACGGUACGCAGCAGGCGGGAAUAUUGCACAAUGGGCGGACGUGUGAUGUAGCAACGCCGCGUGCGUGAUGAUGUCUUUCGGGUUGUAAACCGCUUUCGCCUGUGCCGAAGCCUGCGUGACGGUAAUGGGUCAAGAAGCACCGGCUAACUACGUG
This 468-nucleotide ribosomal RNA is filed under the name uncultured bacterium. RNAcentral's name for it is "partial 16S ribosomal RNA". It matches the Rfam family "Bacterial small subunit ribosomal RNA", at positions 28 to 507 of the family's 1533-position model. The record is from RNAcentral.